CGGCAUGACAGGCACCUCGCUCAGGCCAUUCCCCCUUGUCCUGCCAUCCAAGUCUGUGUGAAAAGUCCCUCUCCAGGGAUACGGAUGCCGAGGGAACAGAAGGAACACAGUGGAGGAAUGGUGGGACCACCCCCUCCAUCACAGCACAGUGUCAGGUUUGCCAACUUGGAAGAAAUUUUCUAUCCUGGAUGUUGCCUCAGGAUGAUUUUUCUUCUUUAAACCCACCCUUCCCUGGUUUUUGUUUGGGUUUUUUUUUCUUUGCUUUGUUUUGCUUUCAGGGAAAAGAAUAUUGAGAAUUUGGUCUUAUUCUGAAAGAGUCAGAUUUUAGCUGGGGGAAUUUAUAAGCAACUGCAAAACAAGUGCAAGUUUAACAGGCUGAAAAAACAGCAGCAAAAAUAUUUCUAGCUUAGAUUGUCACGAGAAAGAACUUUUUGCUGUCUUUUUCCUGUUGCUUUUUGAGGCAGUGAAAUCAAUAUGUAAUAAAUUGUAGUAAAUAUCCCAACUUCUGGUGUUAAUUUUAACCCAAAACACCCCAAGGCAAAUCCUCAUGAGGGGCAGGGACAGGACCCAGGGAACAAACAAAUGGUAUCAUUUCCUCUUUUUUUCCUUUCUUAAAAAAGGAAAUAUUUCCAGGCAAGGUCCAAUGAAGCAAAAGUCCUAAAAAUGGGUGAGGAAUUGGGCAGUUCCAGCCUCGGUCACCACGGGGGCCCUGCCGGGUUUGGGCCGGGCAGUGUUGGGCACACAGGAGAUUGUGGCUGUGCCAGGGAAAUGAGGCACCAACAAAUGCAGGGUUUGAAGUUUCCCUUGUGCUGUCCCAUUCCUGAGAAGUGCUGGCCAAGGGGGAGAUGGGUCAGGAAAUCUGGAGAGGAGUCUCUGUUCCCUCAGGCCCCGAUCUCUGCUGGCUGGGACAGGGACAGCACCCAGGGAAGGGCUGGAGCUGUGCCAGGGCAGGCUCAGCUUGGAGCUCAGCACAAGGUUCUUCCCCCAGAGGGUGGUUGGCACUGCCCAGGCUCCCCAGGGCAGUGGGCACGGCCCCAAGGCUGCCAGAGCUCCAGGAGCGUUUGGGCAACGCUCUGAGGGACAGGGGGGAGUGUUGGGGUGUCCUGGGCAGGGCCAGGGCUGGCACUGGAUGAGCCUGGUGUGUCCCUCCCAACUCAGGAUAUUCCAGGAUUCUACCCACAAGGAAGUUGCCUUUCUCCCACCAUGAGCUCUUGUUUCUUGCUUUCUGAGUUAUCCUCUCCCUGCUCUCCGUGAUCCGCCUUUGCCGUGAGCAGCUGUCCCAGAGCCCCCACAGAACCCCUGGAGCCCAACCCUGCCCUGCAGAGGAGUUGGGGAUCUCCACACGGGUGACCUACUUCAGUUCCUAACUGGCUUUGACACUCUUUUCCAGUUGCAUGGAUUAAGAUUUUUCCUUCCUGAAGUCAUCGGGCUCCGGCCGGACCUUUCACCGCUCUGAACCGGGAUGGUAAAACUCACAGUGUCUCCCCCUGCCCUUUGCCACGGUAUUUUCAUGGGAACUUACAACUCAUCCAGCUGGGGAUGUGGCUUCCAGCAGCUCCCAGCAGAGGAUGCCCAAGGAAGAGCUCACAAACAAGGUACUGGAAGGACCUUUUGGGAUGUGGAGAAAAGAACUGCACAAACCACUCAAUAUGCAGAGAACUAUGGAUUUAUACUGGGGUGGGCGUGUUACAAUGUUCCCUGGUUUGUUCUCUGUCUUGUUCUCUUAACAAUUCCAAAUAUUUUGAUUUGUUUCUCUGAGUAACAGGGAACAUUGUGCUGAGAUUUUUAUAGAAAUAUUAAUCAGAACCCAAAGAUCUCAUUUGUGAGUGGAAAACCAGCUUAGAGCCCAUCCUUGUGUGCACGGAAUUUUCCCCCCAUGUUCACUAUUUUACUACAUUAUUUUAUCUGCCAUUUUAUUAUACGCUCACUCAGCCUUGUAAGGUCUUCAGAGUGAACGUCCCAAUUUGUCCUCUACCUUUCCUUUACCUGGAUGCUCAGUAUCUUUAGAAAUCUGUGGCAUUUCACUGCUCCCCCCUUCCCCAGAUCCUUUAGGAAUACAUUCAGCAGCACCAGGUCCCUGCAGACUCCCCUUGUGAUCCCCCUCUUCUAUGAAAACUGACCUUUUAUUGUUGUUUUAUUUCCAUUUCCUGUCAUCCAGCCAGUUUUUGAUCCAGCCUUCUCUUGCUUCUUGUUGCACAAAGGCCUUUUUAAUGUCUUUUUUUUUUUUUCUUCUUCCAAAUGAUGCUUUGUGUGGGAAUCUCAUUGCCCCUGGAAAUCCUGGGAAUGCUUAAACAUGGAUCUUCAUGUUAUUGAGGGAAGGGUCACACACUGCAGUGGGCAACUGAGUUAUCUCAGAGCUCCUGGGUGGAGCCCACCUGGUCCCCAGGAUGGCUUGACCUUGCCUGCUUAUAUUUGUGAUAGAUCAGUUAAAUUCCCCAUAAUUCCAAAUUCUGGAAUGGAUUCCACACCUCCAGUGCUGUGGCCAGGUCUGGGCCCCUCAGGACAGGAAGGACAUUGAGGGGCUGGAGGAGUCCAGACAAGGGGCAGGACUGAGAUAGAAAUAUUUACAUCUAAAAUAAUCUCCCAGCUCAGAAACAGGGCCCCAACUCAUCAUCUCAUGAAUGGUUUGAUUUGGAAAUAUGAGGAAUGACUUACAACCCCCAGCUCCUUUCCUGGACCUGCAUCCAAUUCCGACUCCUUCCACUAGACCAGCUUGCUCAGAUCCUCAUCCAACCUCACACGGAAGUUAAAAAUCAUUUCCCUGCUGUCCCUUCCUCCAGUUUAAAGUGUGGCAUCAAAACCCACAUCCCCCAACAUGUUUGGGAUGGUGUCUCCUAUCUGUAAUUGCCAAUGGAAAAAGGUAUUUUAGGGACUCAGUUCCACAGUUUUACUUCUGCAUGACAAGAAGAAAACUAAAAAAAAAAAAAUACAUGUGUCUGUCUCAGGUGGCUCCAACCAUCAGAACAGCCAGGAUGUGAAUAUUAAUUACCAUUAAUUAAUUAGCAACCUGCACACCCAGUGACACACUCCUUACAACGAGGAGGAAGAAACAUCAGUGGACAAAAGCUGACCCAUAAUCUGUAAUUUUAGACGCGGAGUUUGAAAAGUUAUUUAUAUCACAGCAAAAUGUAAACAGCUGAGGGCAUGGGUAUCACUUACAAGCUAUUCCCCCUGGUCUCAAAGCAGUAUUUUAAAAAAUUAAAUUUAAAAAUGUUCUGUUUCGGUCUCAUUUGAGGUCGCAACAAAACUUUAGUGACCAAGGGAAUAAAGUGAGACCAAACUGGUGAGUUGAUCCACUCAAGCUUUUGUCACAACAAAUAUGAGGGAUUAUUUGUUCCCCCAGAUAAAUUUUGGACACCACCUUUUUUUGUUCAAUGUGAGUGUCAAUGUUUUCAGUGUAACCACCACAUUUAUGUAAUUAUAUUAUUUCGGUAUAGAAACACCAAAUUAUUUUUCGAGGCCUGUCAGCACUCAAAGAGUCGAUUUUACACAUUAAUAUUUCAUUAUUAUUUUUAUAUUAUUUAUUAAAAUACUUUACAAUAUUACUUUAAUAUAACUUUAAUAUAUUUUAAUAUAACCCUAAUAUAAUUAUUUUAAUUUAACAUUCUUUAAAAACCCACCUUUUUUAACGCAGCCUGCUACAAAUUAUUGCUGCUGGCAGGAUGCACAAAUUCCAGUAGGAAUGUGCAACUGCUUUGAACUGCUUUUGUUCUCCAUACAUGUAUCCUACUAUAAAUGUCUAAAUCACUUGUUUUGUUUCAUCCGCUGGUUUUUUUUCCACCUCCUACAUGUUUGAUAACUCUAUUUUCCUUAUUUGCUAAUUCUUUUGAGAUGCAAGUAAAGCUCAGUGCAAUUUUCAGUCAGUUCAAGCCCUUUUAAACUAGGAGGGAAUUCCCUUAAAAAUGGUGCAAUUUUGCUGGAAAAUGAGUUCACUCUUAAUGACCUUUGAAAUUCCUUGGCCAACAUGAUGCCUUAUGGUGUUAUUUAUUUUUAUAUAUUUUAUUCUGCCUCUCUCAAUUUUAACAUGACACAAAAUCCGGCUUUUUAGACCUUCUGUCUGGACUUUCCCUCAGCUUAGUUUCACCUCAAUUAGCUUUUCUCACCUUGAUAUGGGAACAAAUCAGUUUAUUUUGGUGCCUUUUGUGGUCUUUUCUCAUUAGUUCUUUUAGAGAACCUUGCUAAGAUUUAAUGUCUGUGCAGUCCCUCCAUGUGGUGCAGAUAUUUCAAUUUCUUUAUGAUUAUCUCCCUCCUUUCUGAGGCAUUCAGAAGCACCACUAUUUAUGUGCUCCAGUGCUGGGAUUUGGUGGGAUUUCUCCACCAGAGAUAAUGAAUUUUAAUUUACUUCCUGUAGUUCAGUGUAUCAGUUAUUUCUUCUAUUAACUCCUCGGUGUAACUUAGGCCUUUUGACUCAGAUGCUCUAAAAAACAAUGUUCAGUUUAGUCAAAUGUGCUUGUAAAAACCGUGAAGUGAUCUAAAAAUUAUCCAGCACUGGAAUAAUAUUUGAAGUGACUGUUUGAUUAGACUUAAUCACCUCUAAACUCCUCCAACCCUGUGUGCUCCACAUCCUGCUGAUGGCAAGCAGUGAAAUCACAGGUGCCUUUUUUGUCAUCCCUUUCCAUCUCUUGGAAAACUUCUCCUGUUGAAUUCCUUGAGGCAGGUCCCUUCCAGCUGAAACCAUUCCGUGAUUCUGUGGUGCCUCCUCUGGGCUCUCUCCAGCAGCUCCCUGUGCUCCCUGUGCUCUUCCCAGGGCUGGAGCAGCUCUGCAGGUGGAGUAAAUAAAACUAUGUUAAAAAAACCAGGCUGUGGGCACCAAUAUUCCACUGAGAAGCCCAUUUCCCCUUUAGUUGCGAUUUCCUGAAGGAAUUCCCGUUCCCAAACCAAGCCUAAAAUUGUCAGUCUCACCAUUUGUCCAAAUUUGGGGUGGAUUUUUCAAGUGGAUGGACACAGCAGGCCCCUGACAAUGACAGGCCUCGGUGCCAAAAAUUCCAGCCUUUGCUCUGAGGCUUGAACUGUUUCAUUUUGAUGAAGUCUUCCCAAAUAAUUCAGUGGGAGGUGGAUCCUCUGUAAAGAAAAUCUAUGACCUGGAUCAACCAAAAGAAAAUCCUGUUACUGGAGAGGGAACUUUCAUAAGGGAGUGACAGGACAAGGGGGAAUGGUUUUGAGUGGAAAGAGUGGAGAUUUAGAUUAAAUAUUGGGAAGAAAUUGUUCCCUGUGAGGGUGGGGAGGGGCUGGGAUAGAAUUCCCAGAGAAGCUGUGGCUGCCCCUGGAUCCCUGGAAGUGUCCA
Long non-coding RNA from Myiozetetes cayanensis, 5284 nucleotides. RefSeq lists it as uncharacterized. The record is from RefSeq and is a predicted model, not a curated record. NCBI's taxonomy places the organism in Eukaryota, Metazoa, Chordata, Aves, Passeriformes, Tyrannidae. The transcript has 4 exons.